This 467-nucleotide ribosomal RNA is filed under the name uncultured bacterium. RNAcentral describes it as "partial 16S ribosomal RNA". It matches the Rfam family "Bacterial small subunit ribosomal RNA", at positions 28 to 506 of the family's 1533-position model. The record is from RNAcentral.
GGCGAACGCUGGCGGCGUGCUUAACACAUGCAAGUCGAACGGAAAGGCCCUGCUUUUGUGGGGUGCUCGAGUGGCGAACGGGUGAGUAACACGUGAGUAACCUGCCCUUGACUUUGGGAUAACUUCAGGAAACUGGGGCUAAUACCGGAUAGGAGCUCCUGCUGCAUGGUGGGGGUUGGAAAGUUUCGGCGGUUGGGGAUGGACUCGCGGCUUAUCAGCUUGUUGGUGGGGUAGUGGCUUACCAAGGCUUUGACGGGUAGCCGGCCUGAGAGGGUGACCGGCCACAUUGGGACUGAGAUACGGCCCAGACUCCUACGGGAGGCAGCAGUGGGGAAUAUUGCACAAUGGGCGGAAGCCCAAUGCAGCAACGCCGCGUGCGGGAUGACGGCCUUCGGGUUGUAAACCGCUUUCGCCUGUGACGAAGCGUGAGUGACGGUAAUGGGUAAAGAAGCACCGGCUAACUACGU